This 691-nucleotide ribosomal RNA is filed under the name Comamonas sp. enrichment culture clone V-S2/V-S3_8. Its description in RNAcentral is "bacterial SSU rRNA". It matches the Rfam family "Bacterial small subunit ribosomal RNA", at positions 31 to 719 of the family's 1533-position model. The record is from RNAcentral. Lineage: Bacteria; Pseudomonadati; Pseudomonadota; Betaproteobacteria; Burkholderiales; Comamonadaceae.
GAACGCUGGCGGCAUGCCUUACACAUGCAAGUCGAACGGUAACAGGUCUUCGGAUGCUGACGAGUGGCGAACGGGUGAGUAAUACAUCGGAACGUGCCUAGUAGUGGGGGAUAACUACUCGAAAGAGUGGCUAAUACCGCAUGAGAUCUACGGAUGAAAGCAGGGGAUCGCAAGACCUUGUGCUACUAGAGCGGCUGAUGGCAGAUUAGGUAGUUGGUGGGAUAAAAGCUUACCAAGCCGACGAUCUGUAGCUGGUCUGAGAGGACGAUCAGCCACACUGGGACUGAGACACGGCCCAGACUCCUACGGGAGGCAGCAGUGGGGAAUUUUGGACAAUGGGCGAAAGCCUGAUCCAGCAAUGCCGCGUGCAGGAUGAAGGCCUUCGGGUUGUAAACUGCUUUUGUACGGAACGAAAAGCUUCGGGUUAAUACCCUGGAGCCAUGACGGUACCGUAAGAAUAAGCACCGGCUAACUACGUGCCAGCAGCCGCGGUAAUACGUAGGGUGCAAGCGUUAAUCGGAAUUACUGGGCGUAAAGCGUGCGCAGGCGGUUUUGUAAGACAGAGGUGAAAUCCCCGGGCUCAACCUGGGAACUGCCUUUGUGACUGCAAGGCUAGAGUACGGCAGAGGGGGAUGGAAUUCCGCGUGUAGCAGUGAAAUGCGUAGAUAUGCGGAGGAACACCGAUGGCGAA